UACGUAGGGUGCAAGCAUUGUCCGGAUUUAUUGGGCGUAAAGAGCUCGUAGGCGGUCCGUCACGUCGGAUGUGAAAACUCGGGGCUCAACCCCGAGCCUGCAUCCGAUACGGACGGACUAGAGUGUUGCAGGGGAGACUGGAAUUCCUGGUGUAGCGGUGGAAUGCGCAGAUAUCAGGAGGAACACCGGUGGCGAAGGCGGGUCUCUGGGCAACUACUGACGCUGAGGAGCGAAAGCGUGGGGAGCAAACAGG
This 253-nucleotide ribosomal RNA is filed under the name uncultured bacterium. RNAcentral describes it as "partial 16S ribosomal RNA". It matches the Rfam family "Bacterial small subunit ribosomal RNA", at positions 524 to 776 of the family's 1533-position model. The record is from RNAcentral.